This 253-nucleotide ribosomal RNA is filed under the name uncultured bacterium. Its description in RNAcentral is "partial 16S ribosomal RNA". It matches the Rfam family "Bacterial small subunit ribosomal RNA", at positions 524 to 776 of the family's 1533-position model. The record is from RNAcentral.
UACGUAGGGUGCAAGCGUUAUCCGGAUUUACUGGGUGUAAAGGGCGAGUAGACGGUUUUGUAAGUCAGAUGUGAAAACUUAGAGCUCAACUUUAAGACUGCAUCUGAAACUGUAGAACUAGAGUGCAGGAGAGGUAAGCGGAAUUCCUAGUGUAGCGGUGAAAUGCGUAGAUAUUAGGAGGAACACCAGUGGCGAAGGCGGCCUGCUGGACCGGAACUGACGCUGAGGCACGAAAGCGUGGGGAGCAAACAGG